This is a long non-coding RNA of Leptopilina heterotoma, 557 nucleotides long. RefSeq lists it as uncharacterized. The record is from RefSeq and is a predicted model, not a curated record. Lineage: Eukaryota; Metazoa; Arthropoda; Insecta; Hymenoptera; Figitidae. The transcript has 2 exons.
UUUAAAUGUAAUUUAUACAUAUGUGAAAUACUUGAAUUUUUUUUACGUAUUCUGAUUAAAUAAUUAUAUUAAUAUAUUUUUUUAGUAAUAUUUAUAGCUAAUGCAUUUUAUAUUGACUUAUAAACAUUUUUACAAUAAAAUAUUAGUUUUUCAGUCCCAGAUAGAUUUGGUAAACAACAAUAUUGUGUAAGCACCUUCAGUUACCGAUUGUCAAUUUUAGUUCUUGAUACGGAUGUAUGGCGGCGUUUUUAAUUGCGUUUUAGUGUGAUAGACACGUGUCUACAAAAACUUUUACGCUUAUGUUUGCAAUGUUUAUUUUUACAAAAACAAAAUGUCACAUUUAUUUCUGAGUUUGACACUGCAGACGUUUAAAUUAUUUAAGAAUUAAUAUCGAUAAUUGCAGGUAAAUUAUUCGACCGCAUUCAUGGAUGGCGUCGUCCUUACUUGGAAAAUAGAGCUGCUUCACGUACUUAAAAUAUUUUUGCAAGAGUUACUAUAUAGAAUACCAAAAAUCAAAUACUAAUUGGACACACCAAAAAAUAAAAAUGAAACAAUUA